Molecule: ribosomal RNA, 492 nt
Filed under: uncultured bacterium
Lineage: Bacteria
Description: bacterial SSU rRNA
Rfam family: Bacterial small subunit ribosomal RNA
Source: RNAcentral
GAUGAACGCUAGCGGCAGGCUUAACACAUGCAAGUCGUGGGGCAGCGCGGGUAGCAAUACUUGGCGGCGACCGGCAAACGGGUGCGGAACACGUACGCAACCUUCCUCAGAGCGGGGAAUAGCCUCUCGAAAGAGAGAUUAAUACCCCAUAGUAUCUUGAAACUGCAUGGUUUUAAGAUUAAAGCUCCGGCACUUUGAGAUGGGCGUGCGGCUGACUUAGGUAGUUGGUAGGGUAACGGCCUACCAAGCCAACGAUCAGUAGCUGAUGUGAGAGCAUGAUCAGCCACACGGGCACUGAGACACGGGCCCGACUCCUACGGGAGGCAGCAGUGAGGAAUAUUGGUCAAUGGAGGCAACUCUGAACCGGCCAUGCCGCGUGAAGGAUGAAGGUCCUCUGGAUUGUAAACUUCUUUUAUAGAAGAAGAAACCCACGUUUUCUAAUGUGGUUGACGGUACUCUAAUGAAUAAGCACCGGCUAACUCCGUAGCCAGC